This 253-nucleotide ribosomal RNA is filed under the name uncultured bacterium. RNAcentral's name for it is "partial 16S ribosomal RNA". It matches the Rfam family "Bacterial small subunit ribosomal RNA", at positions 524 to 776 of the family's 1533-position model. The record is from RNAcentral.
UACGGGGGGGGCAAGCGUUGUUCGGAAUUACUGGGCGUAAAGGGCUCGUAGGCGGCCAACUAAGUCAGACGUGAAAUCCCCGGGCUCAACCCGGGAACUGCGUCCGAUACUGGGGGGCUUGAAUCCGGGAGAGGGAUGCGGAAUUCCAGGUGUAGCGGUGAAAUGCGUAGAUAUCUGGAGGAACACCGGUGGCGAAGGCGGCAUCCUGGACCGGUAUUGACGCUGAGACGCGAAAGCCAGGGGAGCAAACGGG